This 66-nucleotide transfer RNA is filed under the name Ceriodaphnia dubia. Its description in RNAcentral is "tRNA-Glu". Lineage: Eukaryota; Metazoa; Arthropoda; Branchiopoda; Diplostraca; Daphniidae. The record is from RNAcentral.
GCAGUUAUAGUAUAAAGAUUACUUUACAUUUUCAUUGUAAAAAUGAGAAAACUUUCUCUAACAGCU